RNAcentral lists this ribosomal RNA (506 nucleotides) under uncultured bacterium. Its description in RNAcentral is "bacterial SSU rRNA". It matches the Rfam family "Bacterial small subunit ribosomal RNA", at positions 28 to 534 of the family's 1533-position model. The record is from RNAcentral.
GAUGAACGCUGGCGGCGUGCCUAACACAUGCAAGUCGAGCGGUAUAUACCUGAAUGAAACUUCGGUCGAAUGAGGGUAUAGAGAGCGGCGGACGGGUGAGUAACGCGUAGGCAACCUGCCCUAUACAGAGGGAUAGCCUCGGGAAACCGGGAUUAAUACCUCAUAAUGCGCGGGGUUCACAUGAACCCUUCGCCAAAGAUUUAUCGGUAUGGGAUGGGCCUGCGUCUGAUUAGCUAGUUGGCGGGGUAAAGGCCCACCAAGGCGACGAUGGGUAGCCGACCUGAGAGGGUGACCGGCCACACUGGGACUGAGACACGGCCCAGACUCCUACGGGAGGCAGCAGUAGGGAAUUUUCCGCAAUGGGCGAAAGCCUGACGGAGCAACGCCGCGUGAAGGAAGAAGGUCUUCGGAUCGUAAACUCCUGUCUUCUGGGACGAAUAAUGACGGUACCAGAGGAGGAAGCCACGGCUAACUACGUGCCAGCAGCCGCGGUAAGAGUCACGUCG